Molecule: ribosomal RNA, 623 nt
Filed under: Hydroporus necopinatus
Lineage: Eukaryota; Metazoa; Arthropoda; Insecta; Coleoptera; Dytiscidae
Description: partial 16S ribosomal RNA
Rfam family: Bacterial large subunit ribosomal RNA
Source: RNAcentral
GUCCUUUAGUUAAAAAUAAUUUAAGGUCUAACCUGCCCAUUGAUUAAAUUAAAAGGCCGCAGUAAUUUGACUGUGCAAAGGUAGCAUAAUCAUUAGUUUUUUAAUUAAAAGCUUGUAUGAAUGGUUGGACGAGAUAAAAUCUGUCUCUUUAUAAUAAAUAGAAUUUAAUUUUUAAGUUAAAAAGCUUAAAUAUUUAUAAAAGACGAGAAGACCCUAUAGAUCUUAAUAUAAUUUUUUUUAGUAUUAAUAAAGAAAAAUUUAUUUAUUAGAAAAAAUUUUAUUUUAUUGGGGUAAUAAAAAGAUUAAUAAAAUUCUUUAUAAUUUAACAAAAAUUAUUGGUUUUUUGAUCCAUUAUUAAUGAUUAUAAGAUUAAGUUACCUUAGGGAUAACAGCGUAAUUUUUUUAGAGAGUUCAUAUCAAUAAAAAAGUUUGCGACCUCGAUGUUGGAUUAAAAGUAAUCUUAGGUGCAGAAGUUUAAGAUUUUGGUCUGUUCGACCAUUGAAUUUUUACAUGAUCUGAGUUUAGACCGGCGUAAGCCAGGUUGGUUUCUAUCUUUAUUAAUUUAUUAUAUUUUAGUACGAAAGGACCAAAUAUAUAAUAUAUUUAUAUUUAUUUUUUGAAUA